This 326-nucleotide ribosomal RNA is filed under the name uncultured bacterium. Its description in RNAcentral is "bacterial SSU rRNA". It matches the Rfam family "Bacterial small subunit ribosomal RNA", at positions 492 to 793 of the family's 1533-position model. The record is from RNAcentral.
ACCGGCUAACUCCGUGCCAGCAGCCGACGGUAAUACGGGAGGGUGCGAGCGUUAAGUCGGUAAUUACGUGGGACGUAAAGCGCAUGCAGGCCGGCCUUAGGUUAAGUCAGAUGUAGAAACGGCCCCGGGGUACCUUUAACCCGUACGGUAAUUGCUAUUUAGAAACGUGGCAGGCUAGAGUCUUGUAGAGGGGGUAGAAUUUCAGGUGUAGCGGUGAAAUGCGUAGAGAUCUGAAGGAAUACCAGUGGCGAAGGCGGCCCCCUGGACAAAGACUGACGCUCAGAUGCGAAAGCGUGGGGAGCAAACAGGAUUAGAUACCCUAGUAG